GUCCCCGUAGCUCAGCAGGAUAGAGCGUUCGCCUCCUAAGCGAAAGGCCGGGUGUUCGAAUCACCUUGGGGACGCCA
RNAcentral lists this transfer RNA (77 nucleotides) under Clostridia bacterium. RNAcentral describes it as "tRNA-Arg". It matches the Rfam family "tRNA". From Rfam's summary of the family: Transfer RNA (tRNA) molecules are approximately 80 nucleotides in length. The record is from RNAcentral. Lineage: Bacteria; Bacillati; Bacillota; Clostridia.